GAUGAACGCUGGCGGCGUGCCUAAUACAUGCAAGUCGAGCGAACAGAUGAGGAGCUUGCUCCUCUGACGUUAGCGGCGGACGGGUGAGUAACACGUGGAUAACCUACCUAUAAGACUGGGAUAACUUCGGGAAACCGGAGCUAAUACCGGAUAAUAUAUUGAACCGCAUGGUUCAAUAGUGAAAGACGGUUUUGCUGUCACUUAUAGAUGGAUCCGCGCCGCAUUAGCUAGUUGGUAAGGUAACGGCUUACCAAGGCAACGAUGCGUAGCCGACCUGAGAGGGUGAUCGGCCACACUGGAACUGAGACACGGUCCAGACUCCUACGGGAGGCAGCAGUAGGGAAUAUUCCGCAAUGGGCGAAAGCCUGACGGAGCAACGCCGCGUGAGUGAUGAAGGUCUUCGGAUCGUAAAACUCUGUUAUUAGGGAAGAAAAAAUGUGUAAGUAACUAUGCACGUCUUGACGGUACCUAAUCAGAAAGCCACGGCUAACUACGUG
Molecule: ribosomal RNA, 497 nt
Filed under: uncultured bacterium
Lineage: Bacteria
Description: partial 16S ribosomal RNA
Rfam family: Bacterial small subunit ribosomal RNA
Source: RNAcentral